AGCCUGAUGCAGCCAUGCCGCGUGUGUGAAGAAGGCCUUCGGGUUGUAAAGCACUUUCAGUCGUGAGGAAGGUGGUGUAGUUAAUAGCUGCAUCAUUUGACGUUAGCGACAGAAGAAGCACCGGCUAACUCCGUGCCAGCAGCCGCGGUAAUACGGAGGGUGCGAGCGUUAAUCGGAAUUACUGGGCGUAAAGCGCAUGCAGGUGGUUAGUUAAGUCAGAUGUGAAAGCCCGGGGCUCAACCUCGGAACUGCAUUUGAAACUGGCUGACUAGAGUACUGUAGAGGGGGGUAGAAUUUCAGGUGUAGCGGUGAAAUGCGUAGAGAUCUGAAGGAAUACCAGUGGCGAAGGCGGCCCCCUGGACAGAUACUGACACUCAGAUGCGAAAGCGUGGGGAGCAAACAGGAUUAGAUACCCUGGUAGUCCACGCCGUAAACGAUGUCUACUUGGAGGUUGUGGCCUUGAGCCGUGGCUUUCGGAGCUAACGCGUUAAGUAGACCGCCUGGGUAACGCGUUAAGUAGACCGCCUGGG
RNAcentral lists this ribosomal RNA (530 nucleotides) under Vibrio sp. 1Bb1S25. Its description in RNAcentral is "bacterial SSU rRNA". It matches the Rfam family "Bacterial small subunit ribosomal RNA", at positions 380 to 873 of the family's 1533-position model. RNAcentral also lists the same sequence under 1 other name. Lineage: Bacteria; Pseudomonadati; Pseudomonadota; Gammaproteobacteria; Vibrionales; Vibrionaceae. The record is from RNAcentral.